GCGCCACCCCAAUCUCCCCGCUCCGCCGCCGCCGCCCCCCGCCUUCCACUAUCACCCGCUCAGCCACCUCCACCCUCCUCUACAUCGCCGGAGGAACGGGCACACCUGGCGCGCCGCCUCGAGGCCGCGCUCGAGCAGGUAAGGAGGGAGUCGGUGCGGCAGGGCACGGCGCUGGACGAGCUGAGGCAGCGGCUCGAGCGGCGGCGGGCGCGCGCGGACGAGCUCCUCGUCGCCAGGCGGAGGGCCGCCGAGGACGUCGAGCGCCGCAAGGAGCAGAUGCAGGCGCAGAUCGAGCGGGUGCUGCCGCUCUCCAGGGCCCUCGCCGCUGCGCACCGGCAAGUGCAGGAUGCCAAGGAGGGAUUAUCCGUGGAGAGGGCGCGGCUUGGGGAUCUGCAGAGGCUGCUCAGGACGAGGCAGCAGUCCAUGGUAGCCCAGGUCGCCGCCCUGUACCCUAUCAGGGUCUUCCGUGACCUGCCGGUUGCACAAAACCACCAUUCCCGUACCAAUGGAGAGUGUCGAACACCUUCGGAAGAGAAUGGCGCACUUACGCAAGAGAAUGGAAAUGGAACACAUUUGCUCAGCGUUAUCAAGGACAAAGCACAUGUAAGCAGCGUUGGACCCUUGACAUUUUUUGGUUGGCAAAUUGGAAAGCCCAGGACAAAGCAGCGGACUUACAGCCACAAGGAGCUUCAGUGGUCAGCAGCUGUGCUUGGAUAUGCAGCACAUAUCGGUCGACGUGGGCGGGGCUGGUGGCGAUCCCCAGUCGGGCUACAUAGGGCCGACGACGAUCUGGACAGGGGCGGUUUGAGGCGCUCGCGCACAUCGGAGGUCCAGUGGCGGCCGCGUCCUGCAUCAAAGGUGCGGCUAGGAAUCAGAGGAGGAUAUGGGAGGGCAAGAGGAAGGGACCGGGGAGGGGCUCACCGACGCGGCGACGCUUGCCGGAGGCUGGCUGGCGGCUGGGCCACACGGUGACGGCGGCGCGCAUGUGGCGUCCUCCCUGGUGGGGCGAGCAAGAAGGAGGAGGUGCACGGGAGGCGUAGGCGCUGUGGCGAGAUGCGCUUCGGAUGCCCGAGAUCGGGCUGCAGCGGGCCCUGGCGCUGGUGGUGGCUUGGGGGGAGCUGACUUCGACGUCAACUUCUACAUCACACAACGUUCUGUAUCAGAGAAGUUGGGGACGCCCGUGAGCCCGUGACAGUGAGACAGACACGACCUUGACUUGGCCAUGUCCGCCUCUCUGGACUGAUGAUAAUGCUUCACUACUGAGUCAUACCAUGCUCACUAUUAAAGGGGAGCAACCUGGCCUGUUGCAACUCAUGUGAAUUCAUGCGGAUGAUAUGGUAUCUUACAUUUUUCACUAAUCAAAAGUUCACACAGGGAAUCCAUGCCAGUGUGCUUACCUUAGCUCACGUCACUUUCCACUGAGGGUGCAAUCAUUGCCAUGUCCCCAUCGCUGCCGCCAUGCAGGAGAACCUCUCAUUGCUGGAUGUAGCGGCGAUGAUGUUCCUAGAGAGAUGUGAAGCGGCAGGGAGGCACAACUAGGUACAGGGCGCUACAAUAGUGACUCAUUGCCGUCGAACGACCCUCCCGCUUAGGCGAUGCUCCUGGCCUUGCAUGGUAGACAACAUAUAUACCUCCAACGAAACAUCAUGUGUAGUAGAUGGCGCUGCACCUCACUUGCAGUGAGUGGUGAAGCAUGGUGCCACGAGUGUGGCUGAUGUGCUGCUGGAGAAGGACACGAUCUUCAAGUAGUCGGCAUGAACAGCCACCGGAUUUUUUUAUGACGAUGCAAGUGGUCUGAAGAUGUCUUUGUGACAAAAUAUUUGCAAAGUGAUCAGGGAGAUAUCUGAUGGAACAUGCCGAAACGAUUUUGGGCCUACAAUAUAAAAACAAUGAAAUUGCAAACUUUCUUAGGGAGAUAUGUGAUGGGAUGUGAAAAGCUACCCCCCACCCAACCAACCCCGUUACGACGCUCUAUGAGUGCUUCCUGUAAGAAGAGGAGACACUUGUGCAUGCUGCUCAAGGUGAUACACAAGAUUGAGUGAUGGUCUUGCAAGCUCAGGGCAAUCAUGGAAGUAGUGUAGUUCCUUUGUGUGUGAGAGACCCACAAAGGAUUGCUUAAUGAGCUUGAGUCUGCGUAGGUUGAACACCAAAGAGUGAUUGUGGUGCUCUAUGAAAUACUAAAAUGCAGGUGCUGCAGCGGUUGUUCAUUGAUAUUAUGUAGCUUUCCUUUGCAUACGCUUGCAACUACAUAUACAUGUGGCCACAUAUGAUAAGUUGGCAGUGAACUUUCAAAUACAG
Molecule: ribosomal RNA, 2298 nt
Filed under: Triticum aestivum (bread wheat)
Lineage: Eukaryota; Viridiplantae; Streptophyta; Magnoliopsida; Poales; Poaceae
Description: partial small subunit ribosomal RNA
Source: RNAcentral